RNAcentral lists this ribosomal RNA (253 nucleotides) under uncultured bacterium. Its description in RNAcentral is "partial 16S ribosomal RNA". It matches the Rfam family "Bacterial small subunit ribosomal RNA", at positions 524 to 776 of the family's 1533-position model. The record is from RNAcentral.
UACGGAGGGUGCAAGCGUUAAUCGGAAUUACUGGGCGUAAAGCGCACGCAGGUGGCUUGUUCAGUCGAUUGUGAAAGCCCUGGGCUUAACCUGGGAAUUGCAGUCGAUACUACUCAGCUAGAGUAUGGGAGAGGGUAGUGGAAUUCCCGGUGUAGCGGUGAAAUGCGUAGAUAUCGGGAGGAACAUCAGUGGCGAAGGCGGCUACCUGGCCCAACACUGACACUCAGGUGCGACAGCGUGGGGAGCAAACAGG